RNAcentral lists this ribosomal RNA (565 nucleotides) under uncultured bacterium. RNAcentral describes it as "bacterial SSU rRNA". It matches the Rfam family "Bacterial small subunit ribosomal RNA", at positions 777 to 1341 of the family's 1533-position model. The record is from RNAcentral.
AAUAGAUACCCGGGUAGUCCACGCCGUAAACGAUGGAUACUAGGUGUCCGGAUGUUUAACCGUCUGGGUACCAAAGCUAACGCAUUAAGUAUCCCGCCUGGGGAGUACGGUCGCAAGGCUAAAACUCAAAGGAAUUGACGGGGGCCCGCACAAGCGGUGGAGUAUGUGGUUUAAUUCGAAGCAACGCGCAGAACCUUACCUGGGCUUAACAUUUAUCGACAACCCCCAGAGAUGGGGCUUCCACUUCGGUGGCGGUAGGAUAGGUGCUGCAUGGCUGUCGUCAGCUCGUGUCGUAAGAUGUUCGGUUAAGUCCGGCAACGAGCGCAACCCCUGUCCUUAGUUACCAGCAUUAAGUUGGGGACUCUAGGGAGACUGCCGGUGUUAAACCGGAGGAAGGCGGGGAUGACGUCAAGUCCUCAUGGCCCUUAUGUCCAGGGCUACACACGUACUACAAUGGCAGAAACAGAGGGCAGCAAAACCGCGAGGUUGAGCUAAUCCCAAAAACACUGUCCCAGUCCGGAUUGGAGUCUGCAACUCGACUCCAUGAAGUUGGAAUCGCUAGUAA